RNAcentral lists this ribosomal RNA (539 nucleotides) under uncultured Gammaproteobacteria bacterium. RNAcentral's name for it is "bacterial SSU rRNA". It matches the Rfam family "Bacterial small subunit ribosomal RNA", at positions 56 to 584 of the family's 1533-position model. Lineage: Bacteria; Pseudomonadati; Pseudomonadota; Gammaproteobacteria. The record is from RNAcentral.
UGCAAGUCGAACGGCAGCAUGAACUGGUUUACCAGUUUGAUGGCGAGUGGCGGACGGGUGAGUAACGCGUAGGAAUAUGCCUUGAAGUGGGGGAUAACUUGGGGAAACUCAAGCUAAUACCGCAUAAGCUCUUAGGAGUAAAGCUGGGGACCUUCGGGCCUGGCGCUUUGAGAUUAGCCUGCGUACGAUUAGCUAGUUGGUGGGGUAAAAGCCUACCAAGGCGACGAUCGUUAGCUGGUCUGAGAGGAUGGCCAGCCACACUGGAACUGAGACACGGUCCAGACUCCUACGGGAGGCAGCAGUGGGGAAUAUUGGACAAUGGGGGGAACCCUGAUCCAGCAAUGCCGCGUGUGUGAAGAAGGCCUGAGGGUUGUAAAGCACUUUCAGUGGGGAGGAGGAUUGACAGGUUAAGAGCUAGUUAAUUGGACGUUACCCACAGAAGAAGCACCGGCUAACUCCGUGCCAGCAGCCGCGGUAAUACGGAGGGUGCAAGCGUUAAUCGGAAUUACUGGGCGUAAAGGGUGCGUAGGUGGUUGAUU